Molecule: ribosomal RNA, 1859 nt
Filed under: Ctenocephalides felis (cat flea)
Lineage: Eukaryota; Metazoa; Arthropoda; Insecta; Siphonaptera; Pulicidae
Description: SSU rRNA
Rfam family: Eukaryotic small subunit ribosomal RNA (bases 576-1847)
Source: RNAcentral
CUAUAUGGAAUAAGAAUAAAUAAUGAAUGAAUGUCCCUAUCUACUUUCUAGCGAAACCACUGCCAAGGAAACGGGCUUGGAAAAAUUAGCGGGGAAAGAAGACCCUGUUGAGCUUGACUCUAGUCUGGCAUUGUAAGGAGACAUGUAAGGUGUAGCAUAAGUGGGAGAUAGUAAUAUCGUCGGUGAAAUACCACUAUUUUCAUCGUUUCUUUACUUACUCGAUUAGGCGGAAAGCGUGCGUCGAAAACUUGCGUUCCGACUGUCACGGUUUUCUAGAGCCAAGCGCAUAAGAGUGGUGUGAGCCAUUGCGCCGAUUGCCAACAAUACUCUAGCGUGAUCCGAUUCGAGGAAACUGCUAGGCGGGGAGUUUGACUGGGGCGGUACAUCUGUCAAAUAAUAACGCAGGUAUCCUAAGGCCAGCUCAGCGAGGACAGAAACCUCGCGUAGAGCAAAAGGGCAAAUGCUGGCUUGAUCCCGUUGUUUAGUGUGCACAGGGACUGCGAAAGCAUGGCCUAUCGAUCCUUUUGGCUUGAAGAGUUUUCAGCAAGAGGUGUCAGAAAAGUUACCACAGGGAUAACUGGCUUGUGGCAGCCAAGCGUUCAUAGCGACGUUGCUUUUUGAUUUUUCGAUGUGUUCAACAGGCAUGUCUGUGGGACGUCCUACCGGUGGGCUUAGCCCGUAAAAAGGCGGCCCAACUCAAAAUCCUACCAAAGGUGCUCUUCACCGAGUGUCGAGGUGGGCCGGUACGUUUACUUUGAACAAAUUAGAGUGCUUAAAGCAAGCUCAUUCGCCUGAAUAUUGUGUGCAUGGAAUAAUGGAAUAGGACCUUGGUUCUAUUUUGUUGGUUUUCGGAAUUCCGAGGUAAUGAUUAAUAGGGACAACUGGGGGCAUUCUUAUUGCGACGUUAGAGGUGAAAUUCUUGGAUCGUCGCAAGACGGACAGAAGCGAAAGCAUUUGCCAAAUGUGUUUUCAUCAAUCAAGAACGAAAGUUAGAGGUUCGAAGGCGAUCAGAUACCGCCCUAGUUCUAACCAUAAACGAUGCCAGCUAGCGAUCCGCCGAAGUUCCUCCGAUGACUCGGCGGGCAGCUUCCGGGAAACCAAAGCUUUUGGGUUCCGGGGGAAGUAUGGUUGCAAAGCUGAAACUUAAAGGAAUUGACGGAAGGGCACCAGAAGGAGUGGAGCCUGCGACCUAAUUUGACUCAACACGGGAAACCUCACCAGGUCCAGACACCGGAAGGAUUGACAGAUUGAGAGCUCUUUCUUGAUUCGGUGGGUGGUGGUGCAUGGCCGUUCUUUGUUGGUGGAGUGAUUUGUCAGGUUAAUUCUGAUAACGAACGAGACUCUAGCCUGCUAAAUAGACGUACUUUCUGGUAUCGCAAAGACCCUUCGCUUCGGCUUCGGUCGUUGUUGGUUGUGGUUCUCACUACCGGCGCACAAAUAUAUCUUCUUAGAGGGACAGGCGACAUUUAGUCGCACGAAAUUGAGCAAUAACAGGUCUGUGAUGCCCUUAGAUGUUCUGGGCCGCACGCGCGCUACACUGAAGAGAGCAGCAGGUUUUCCUUGGCCGAAAGGUCCAGGUAAUCCGUUGAAGCCUUUUUGUACUAGGGAUUGGGGCUUGCAAUUCUUCCCCAUGAACGAGGAAUUCCUAGUAAGCGCGAGUCAUAAGCUUGCGUUGAUUAUGUCCCUGCCCUUUGUACACACCGCCCGUCGCUACUACCGAUUGAAUUAUUUAGUGAGGUCUUCGGACCGGUGCGCGGCAGCGUUUCGACAUUGCCGAUGUUGCUGGGAAGAUAACCAAACUUGAUUAUUUAGAGGAAGUAAAAGUCGUAACAAGGUUUCCGUCAUUAACGUACAUUUAC